RNAcentral lists this non-coding RNA (46 nucleotides) under Schistosoma curassoni. Lineage: Eukaryota; Metazoa; Platyhelminthes; Trematoda; Strigeidida; Schistosomatidae. The record is from RNAcentral.
GCACUGCUGAGGAGUCCCAUACGAAGACGAAACGGCCGUCCAGUGC